AUAGCCCCCGGCGCCCUGCCCCACACCCGGCCUCUGUUUGCAGCUUGCUCGGAUCUCGGGCUUUCCCGGACCCUGGGAGCAGCAGCCCCCACCCAGCAACCCAGGAGCACUUUCCCCAGUGGGCCCAUGGGGCAGAGUCUGCAGCCAGAGCCGUCCGGGGAGAGGAGCGGUGGAAGGAAGCCGGCUGAGACGGCCGGGGAGGGGUCUGAGCUGGAACACGGCCUCUGUGUGAUUGUGGACAGCUUCUACAGAUACGCCGAGGGCCCGCCUGGAGCGAAGGUGCUGGACCAGGCGGCUUUCCAGAACCUGCUCAGCAACGAGUUGAGCCAUCAG
Mauremys reevesii (Reeves's turtle) is the source of this 333-nucleotide long non-coding RNA. RefSeq lists it as uncharacterized. The transcript is spliced from 3 exons. Lineage: Eukaryota; Metazoa; Chordata; Testudines; Geoemydidae. The record is from RefSeq and is a predicted model, not a curated record.